UCAAGUGGAUUUGAAAGACUGGAGAAAUCCUCCUGUUCCCAAAGAAGCAGAGCUGAGGAGGAAAGAAUCAGAAGAGGAGAGGAUGGACAGACAGGAUAAAUCAGGGCUUGUUGGGCGGGGACCAAGUACCAGAAUACCAGACACUGGAUAGACAGCAAAAGACAAACUGAGGAGUGGGAUGCAUUAAGCUGUGGGGAGAUUGGGCAGCAGAAGAUACAGCAGGAAAAACGCUUUUAGGAGCAGAGGGAAGAGGACCAGUCCAAUAAAAAACAAAGGACCAAAUCAGUAGGCCAAAUAGGGUCCCUCAUUCCUAGAUUAAACACAGGGAGGGAGCAACACCAUCUCUGGGGGGGGGGGCGCGGAAACAUGUAAAUUAAUAGUAGGUGCUGCCAGUUAACUCCAAGGCUAGCAUUUUUGGCAUGGGAAUGCCAAAGCAGUUCAACAGUACAAGUAUUUCUACUUUUGCAUCUUUAAAAGUAACGCUUUGCAAGUACUUUAUUUAUGUUUAGUCUCUGCAUGUUUUGUGAUACUUAAGGCUUGAAACGCAUUAAAGAAGGCACCAUAAAUGACUACAUUUAGCUCUUAGUCAUGGCCCAGGGAGAUUUUUUAAAUUGCUUUGUGAUAUUGUCCUUUUUUCUUCUUUUUUAAAUCAGUACCAUUGCCGUGUCUUAAGAGGUAAACCUGGAAGGUUUAAGAAUAAAGAGGAGUUAUUAAGACGUGACGUUCUUUCCUUAAAAAAAGUUUAUUGCAAAACUCAGUAUUUGGUAGCACUUCCAAAUUCACUAAUUACAGUACAGAACUAGCAAUCCUGCUAUGACCAUGUUUAAUCCUGGUUUUGGAUCUGUUGUGCACAGACACACACACUCCUGUUCAUGCUAAUAUGGUAUCUACAUAUGCUCUAACUCAUGCUGCAGUCAGUUAUGGAUGCUGUUAUUUAGUACUGGAAAUCUUUUUAAAAACAUACAGUACCAAGGACACUAAACUGCAACAUGGUCUCCAUAGUUUUCAGGCAGUGAGAGAAGGUGAAUUGAUAAAACUACUCUGAUACAAGACUGCUCUUUCCUGGGUCUGAGGCAUCAUCAUGUUCGGAACUGGAAAAAAAACUUUAGUAGAGGAUAGAUCGCAUAAAUAUUCUUAAUAUUGCAUCCCAGUAUUUUGAUACUAAAUGUACUAGUAUGCUUCACCAAAUAUAUAGUGAGCACCUCCAUUAAGGGGUGUAAUCCCUAACCACAUUGAAAUUUUAAGGACUUCAAAGAGUGGAUUCAAGUUUUUUUUUAAAAAAAUUAACAGAGGUUUUAGGAAUAACAGCCACAAACCAAUUUGUUCUGCAUAUCUAUGUUUGAUAAUACAUAAACGUCUU
This 1360-nucleotide long non-coding RNA is filed under the name Pogona vitticeps (central bearded dragon). Its description in RNAcentral is "lncRNA (ENSPVIG00000009286.1)". Lineage: Eukaryota; Metazoa; Chordata; Lepidosauria; Squamata; Agamidae. The record is from RNAcentral.